Molecule: long non-coding RNA, 190 nt
Organism: Alosa alosa (allis shad)
Lineage: Eukaryota; Metazoa; Chordata; Actinopteri; Clupeiformes; Clupeidae
Exons: 3
Source: RefSeq, a predicted model, not a curated record
CAAACAGGUAACUGUAGCAAAGCCGGUGGAGCGUCAUUGGACAUCAGUCCAUCACCAUUACUGUGCUUCUCAGUGGUCCAUGUGGCUGUUAGAGUUGCUACCACGCUCAGUCUGUUUGUGGCUGUUGCCAUAGUUGCAGUCAUCUACAGGAAGAGACCGGGUGACUACAAGGGCAAGCCAAACAUCUCUG